Non-coding RNA from Schizosaccharomyces pombe (fission yeast), 1137 nucleotides. The record is from the annotation of a GenBank genome assembly. NCBI's taxonomy places the organism in Eukaryota, Fungi, Ascomycota, Schizosaccharomycetes, Schizosaccharomycetales, Schizosaccharomycetaceae.
GGGAGCUUAAUAGUAAGAACGGAAAACCUCCUCUUGGUUAACUUUGGGAUGAUCUGAAGGUCUAGGAGUAGCUUCGUAAAUGGUUACAACAGGAUCACCCUUGAAGGGAACAAAAGAACCACGAAGACCAAUGUAGGCGAUUUGUGUAGGAUCAUCAGAACCGUCGCUUUUGGUGAAGAAGAUAUUGAGAUUUUGAAGGUUUUGAUAGAGACGAGUCUUAACAGGAAACUCGAAGAUAUGGCUUCCUUCAAAAGUCAAGGGAAAUUCAAAUGUUUCAGUGGCUUGGACAUCACCGAUUGUGUCAAAAUCCAAGUCGGUACGAUUGGGAAAAAGUGAAAAGGAGUGUGGAGCGGUUUCAUUAGGAAAAAUGCGAACCAAAAUUGAUUUUAGUGUUGCCGCACCUGCAAACGGUACCUGAAACAAGAGUUGGUCAUCAGCAUCACUUUCUACGAUAUCAGUGUCAUCAUAACGAAGGUCCCAAGGUUUGAAGACGAGUUUUCCGGAAUCUGGUACAGCUUCAUUCAGCGUAACAAUUGAUUCCUUUCGGAUGCAAGAAUACAAGGUAUCAUUUGGACCAGACUCAAACGGAUGUUCAUCACAGUCAGCGGAACAAUGGUGAGGGCCAGACAUUUAGUACAAACUUCUAAGGAAAUCGUUAAAAAUGCAAGACUAGGCGAGUUGAUAGGUGAAUAAAUAAACGGUAAACUCGCUAACAAAAAGUAAAAGGGAAAGUUAUUUGCGAGCACACUAAGACGUAAGACCGACACUCGGAAGCAAAUACUCAAACAAAACAACUAAUAGGAAGAAAACCAAAAGCGGAAAAAUAUGGCGAAAAAGCCUCCCGAGACCAGAAGUACGUUAUGCGUUAAAAUAUUUUUCUUAGAAGCUUUACUAGUCUUCAGCAAAAGAAAAACAAAAAUGGAAUCAAAAUCAGAAUUCAAAACUGAAAAGAAAGAAUAUAAAAGUAGUUUUUUAACGAUGAAUUAUUUUAUUGCUUUUUAAAAAAUUUUGAUUUUGAGACAAUAACCGAAAACUCACUUUUGUACCAAAGAAACGUUGACAGUAUAAGCAAACAACCUCCUUACUGACUUUUAAACACCAACUUGAAAAUAUUCGAUGAAUAGUAUGAAUACCAGA